Mytilus californianus (California mussel) is the source of this 2970-nucleotide long non-coding RNA. RefSeq lists it as uncharacterized. The record is from RefSeq and is a predicted model, not a curated record. Lineage: Eukaryota; Metazoa; Mollusca; Bivalvia; Mytilida; Mytilidae. The transcript is spliced from 3 exons.
GAAAUGACAGAUAUUAAUGUGUUUACAAAAAACCAUUAUUUUCAUUAAUCAUAAAGCUGGGAGCACAUUUUAGUUGGCCUAACUACUGUAUCUAUACACUGUGUAAAAGUAAUAACCAAAACGAUGAUCCAUUGAUAGUGUAAAAACGUAGAUCAAUGUAGACACCGAAACUUAUGUUUUUGAAUUAUCGUAGCUAAUCAAUUCUAAGAACUAACAUGAUAUUAGCGUUUGAUUUACUGUAAAUUUUUAAAUGUCUACAUCAAAAUCUUCGCUCUCUGCUUGACAUUUGUCUGUCAGCAUAAGAAUCAAUUUCUAGUAUUGUUCACUCUAGAAUAAAGACCUGUAUGGAAUCAACCCUAAGUUAUGUCUUCCCUUCGACGAAGGGGCAUUAUGUUUUAGAAGUGUUUCUUCUGCUUCAGUUUACAUUCAACCUUGUCCGGGCUAACACUUUUUGUUAUCUUUUGAUAUUGGCCUAUAAUAUUUGGCAUGAAGGUGUAUAACCAUAAGAUGCUGUGUCGCAUAUCAUCAUUAUAACAAUACUUAGUAAGAAGAUGUGGUAUAAUUGCCAAAUGAGACAAUUAUCCAGAAGAGACCAAAUGAAGUAGAUGCAAGCAACUAUAGGUCAUCGCAUGGUUUCCACGAUGAACAAAACCUAUUCUGUAUAGAAAGCUUAGAAAGGUCCCAACAUGACAAACUUUAAACAAUUCAAACGAGAUAACCUACGGUCUGAUUUAUGUACUAAAUAUAAACAAAAUAACCAAUAUGAUAGACAGCAACCAACGACAGCAACUAAAAUACAGGCGACAAAAGUACAAACUGAAAAAUCAGUUGAAAAAGGUUAAACUCGUCAGGUCGACACAUGACCUUCAUGUAAAAUUGACCUUUUACAUCAAGGUCAAAAUAUGUGAUUUUUUUGGACAUUUUCUUGACCAAGACAUAACUUUCUUAUCAUUUGACAAAGGCUUUUGAUAUUUAGCAUAAAAGUGCAGCUGUUCAUAUUAAUUGAAUCAAUGUACAAUAUAAACUUUGCACAUGCAAAUCAAUUAUUUUGAAGCCCCAAAAAAAGAAGAAUUUUGUAAUACGUCAUAAGCGCCAUCCUACUCUAUUGUAUAUAUCAUAUAAGAGGUACGCAAAUGUAAACAACUCAACUGUGAGUAGGUGUUAGCCAUUAAUAUAGGAAGUUAUCAAUUCAUUUGUAACUAUCAGCACUUAAUAGUGGAUUGGAGAUCUUCUAGAAUGUAGAAGAAUGGUGAAAUAAGAUUGUUAUUUUUAAGGAGUUUCGACAAUUAUUACAAAACUAAUCGAAACACUUAUAUAGAAAUCAAGUUAAAAUUUCCGGACAAUAUAUAUAAAUUAUUUGACGGCGAAGUCCCCAUAGUAAAUUUAAGUUCAUAAUGAAGAUGAUUGAAAUUGUAUUGUUACUUUUGGUAUCAAACACACUUGCAAAUGCCGUCAGUGACAGGGUCGACGCACCUUUACUUGAUAACAACAAUGCGCCACUAGUUGCCACCCUCGAUUUGUCGAAUGCCAAUAAGCGUAUCAAAGAAUAUGUUAGUGAAACAAUGGAGACAAAGAUGGCAGAUCUGGUGAAGAUGAAAUUAGAAGAGGUUCUUACAACAUUGCAUUUAGAGGAAGAUGUAAAGCGUUACAUUGAUAACGUUAAAAAGAAUCUGACCGUCAACAUAACUGAUGAUAUAAAACGAAUUUCUGAUGCAAAGAUUUUAGAGAAAGAACCACGUCGAAAGGAUGACCGUGCAUUGUCUAUAUGCCUUGGAAUCACGGGGAGCAGUAUCGGCCAAAUCAAAUCUGUCAGACGGAAUUGUAGCAGCAAGACAACGUGUGAAAGCAUCUGCAAGGGAGUAGAUAACAGUUUGAAUUGUUUCAACGCUCUGCAUUUAUAUGGCUACCGUUCAUAUUCUACUGCACAUUUGUAUGGAUACGGUGGAUGUUCUGCCACAUAUUGUGGUCCAAACUACUGCUGCUGCCACAAUUAAUAUCCAGAUAUGUCAGUUGGAAUUAUAUGUAUUAAAAUGUAUUCAAGAUAUUUGAACACAAACUGUUGUUAUAUCAUUAUAUUGAUAUGAACUUUUAAUGUUAACAGAUGUAAAUUUAGAAGUUUCAGGGUAUUCGAAUCAGUUAACUUGAAAUACACUUCCUUUUUUUUUUACUUAAAAUGCAAAGAAGGAAAAUAUAAAGAUUGCAAAAAAAAGCGAAGAAAAUCACGAUUUGCAAGUAAUUUUUUAACAGUGACCUCAAAGACUGUACAUAUGUGCUUUGUUGUUUUGUGAAAUUAUUUCAUAGUAGAAGAUGCUUAUGGUUUAUUAUCACUAUACAUUUUUAAGAACAAGCAAAUCAUCAACCGUAAAAAUAUUGCCCCAGUUUGUAACACGGUUUCAAAAAGAAGAUGUUUUUAUUCAAAGACGCAGACAUUUUCAAUUCCAAAUUGACAUAAAAUACAUAUCGGAAGCAGAUUAAAAAAAUUAGCUGAUAACUAUCAUUUCUUUUAGGGCUCGGUCAUUGACACCAAACUCUAUAUAUCACCGCAAUAGACUGCCUCUCCUAGACGUGAAUUAUUAUACAGAGAGAGGUUGAUGAAAAAUGACGCCGUUGUGUAACUUUUAUUGGGGAUUUGACCUAUAACAUCUGCAUUUGUUUGAAGAAAAUAUAAAUAUACAUGUAUUAGUUUACAACAUUUUGACCUUCAUCCUUCAACUGUUAUCCGGACUGAUCUUGCGAAUUGACUAGGAUUUUCAGGUUUUUUUUCUCAUUUAACUGGGAUCAUUUAACUCAUAAUAUUCAAUAACGAUUUAUAAACCCGCGAGAUACAUGCAUAUGGGAUUAUUAUGAAAUUUUCCAUAUUUCGGAUCAUGUUUAUGUUCUAUUGGCAUGCUGUCAAUUGUUGUAAUGACACAUAAUCCUGUAAGAAAUAAAUAUGGCAGGGGUAGAAUACCUUGAUCAUACUGCAGGUAA